GCAACGACGAAGAACCUUACCAACGGCCUUGACAUGCAGAGAACUUUCCAGAGAUGGAUUGGUGCCUUCGGGAACUCUGACACAGGUGCUGCAUGGCUGUCGUCAGCUCGUGUCGUGAGAUGUUGGGUUAAGUCCCGUAACGAGCGCAACCCUGUCCUUAGUUACCAGCACGUUAUGGUGGGCACUCUAAGGAGACUGCCGGUGACAAACCGGAGGAAGGUGGGGGAUGACGUCAAGUCAUCAUGGCCCUUACGGCCUGGGCUACACACGUGCUACAAUGGUCGGUACAAAGGGUUGCCAAGCCGCGAGGUGGAGCUAAUCCCAUAAAACCGAUCGUAGUCCGGAUCGCAGUCUGCAACUCGACUGCGUGAAGUCGGAAUCGCUAGUAAUCGUGAAUCAGAAUGUCACGGUGAAUACGUUCCCGGGCCUU
RNAcentral lists this ribosomal RNA (430 nucleotides) under uncultured Pseudomonas sp. RNAcentral describes it as "bacterial SSU rRNA". It matches the Rfam family "Bacterial small subunit ribosomal RNA", at positions 956 to 1382 of the family's 1533-position model. The record is from RNAcentral. Lineage: Bacteria; Pseudomonadati; Pseudomonadota; Gammaproteobacteria; Pseudomonadales; Pseudomonadaceae.